Molecule: transfer RNA, 73 nt
Filed under: Marmota monax (woodchuck)
Lineage: Eukaryota; Metazoa; Chordata; Mammalia; Rodentia; Sciuridae
Description: tRNA.Ala
Source: RNAcentral
GUGGGGUUAUAGCUCAAUGGUAGAGUGCUUGCCUAGCGUGUGUGAGGCACUGGGUUCAAUUCUCAGCACCACA